AAGCAUCGCACACCCACCGCGUGGACGCGCAACGCGCGGACGGGCUGCUCCUUCGCUGGCAGGUUUUGCAGGCUGCUGAGACUCGAGCUUCCCCAAGUCCCUCCAGAGUUCUCCCACAGGCUACAAAAUCCUCCUCUCUUCCCUUCGCUCCAAGGGACACAGUUCCUGGAAACCAUGCGCCCGCUGGGGACGCGAUCCCUGGAGAAGGGAGUGCAUCUUCUCCAAGCGAGGGCCGCAACAGGUGCAAGCCAUGUGACUGGACAAUAGCCGGGCGGAGCUGAGGGCGCUUCGGGAUCACAGAAACCUUGUUCGGAGACCUGGUUCCACCACUAGCUGCGAAACUGCAAGUUCUCCAAGGGCAUUCCAGGGUCUGCGGCGCACGGAUGAUUACAGUUCCUGCCACUUAGGGAUCUUGGGGAAAAAAGUAAGCCCUCACGUAGCUCAGUGUGGCGCCGGCGCUCCGGGGGCGAUCCCUUGCCCCGGGUGGGGGACUGCAGGGCACAGAGGUUUGUGGUCGGGUCUCCACGCUCGCGCCGUGAGCCCCUGGCGAGUGGAAUUUGGCACCUUCUUUUUCUCCCUUAUGUCCCUGUUUCUUUCCCUUUCUCUUUUGAUCCGAGUCCCGAAACUGAGCGACGAGCGCUGGAGACCGCGGCGCGGAGCCUGCGUCGGGCGCAGCAGGGUUAGGGCUGAGCCAGGGCCGCGGCGGAGCCCCUGCGCCCCUCCGGCCGCCGUGAGGAUGCGGAGCGCGGGCGAGCUGGGACCCCCCAGCGCCGGGGCCGCUUUCUGCCAGCCGGGAGAGCGGGAUCGGCGAGGCGGCGCCCUUGAUCGGGAGUAACCCAGCGGUUGGCAGAAACCGGUCUGACCCCUGCCACAGGAGAAGAACCCACAGCAGCUCUGGGCCUCUUCCUCCCCAGUGUCCGCGCUGCAGCUUGAGAGACGAGUUUGAGGAACCCGGCCCGGCCCGGGGCGAGCUGGUCUUGUUCUGACCUUCCCUGGUCAUUUUGUUCCUCCAGCUGCCCUGCCCUAUGCUUUGUCCCUCCAGUGGGCUAUCAUUCAUUAACAGGAGGCAAGCUGGAUUUAAAAAAAAAAAAAAAAAAAAACCUCAGUGUUUCGUAUGGUAUGGGUAAUGUCAACGCAGUUACUUUACUCCCGUCACCCUCCCAGUGGCAAAGCGUACAGACGAGGCCAGGUGUUAUCUUCAUUUUGCAGAUGGGAAAACAGUCGUGGGGACCGGAUGUACGUUUGAAGGAAGUUUCACCACAACAGUCUUUCUCAUCUGCUCUUGGCCAAGUGGUCUCUAAAUAUGAGCCCUUCGCAACUUUGUCUCCAUGUCUCUAGAGGCUGAGGGGUUAACUUGUGAUCAAAACCCCUCCUUCUUUACCCCUGGGCAGUGGAGGCCUGCUACACGGGAGGCUGAGGCAGAAAAAUCAUUUGAACCCACAAGCUCCAGGCAGCCUGAGCAAUAUAACAACCAAUACACGAACUCAAAAACAAACAAACAAAUAAACCAAGCACUCUUCUUGUUCUGAUUUGUUCACAACUGUUGUUUUGAGAACAUUAAGUAAACAAUAUGGAGGGUGUGUCUUGGAUACCUUUGUCACAGAAGAACCACAAGGAAAUUUGAGGAGUGUCCUGUGUGGAGCAAUGUUCACCUGAGGAACCUGAGCGUGAAACUUCCUCUGUGUUGCAAUCAAAAUUGAAAGUCUCUCAGGCUACCUUGUUAAACAUCUCUCGUCAUGGUCUUUCAUCAACCCAGCUUCUAAAGACCCUACCUAUUUUACCAGAGUGAAUUCCGCUAUGGUAAGAGCCUACUUCCCACUGCAGAAGCUAAAAAGCAAACACUUGCCUUACCAGACUCCCUUGGAACUAGAGUUCUCAAUUUAAACUCAGUCAACAGACUGAACUGGAACCUAGUGAGGCUCCCACUAGUGAAUGCUCUGCCAGUGGUCAGCCAGCUCUGCUUCUCAGAGGCAGCAGUGGGCCGUCCACCAGACUAUUCUGCAGAGAAAUUUGGGGCAUUGCUGUCUCCCUCAGUGUAUCCUCCAGGCUUGAUUCUUCUACCCUGCAGAGAUUCCAGUCCUUACCCAAUAUCAUCUUAAUGAGUUCCUCUUUAGCAUAAAUCAUCCAGACACUACUUGUAUUACUUACAGCUAAGAAAAUGACUUCCUUAUCAGGUGUUUAUGGAACAGCUACUAGGGAGAAACACUGGGCUGAAUGUCUCGAGGAAUACUCUGAAGGUCAUCCUUGCUCUCCAGAUACAAUGUAAAAAGUUAAAAAUGCCAAAAGGGUGGCAUGUAAGAGUUCCCUGAGAUGUAGACCAAUGUUGUUCAAUAGAAAUAAUACAAACCACGUCUUCGCCAGCUCACGCUGCCAUGAUAAACUAUCAUAGACGAGGUGCCUUAAACAACAAAUUUAUUUUCUCAUAGUUUUGGAGGCUAGAAGUUCAACGUUAGGGUAUGAGCAUAGUUGGGUUCUGGUAAAGGGCCUCUUCCUGGCUUCUGUGUGGCUGACUUCUCACUGUAUCCUUACAUGGCAGGGAGAGAGAAAGUGCUGUUAUCACUUCCGAUAAUGGCAUUAAUCCUAUCAUGGGCCCCACCCUCAUGAUCUCAUCUAAUCCUGACUACCUUCCAAAGGCCCCAGCUCUUAAAACCACAGUGAAUCAAGGCUUCAACAUAUGAGUUUGGGGUGACACAGCUGAGUCCAUAGGACCACAUACAUAAUUUUAAGAUUUCGAGACAGCAGCAUUAUAAGAUUAAAAGAAACAAAUGAAAUUCUAAUAAUUCAUUUAAGCCAAUAUAUUCAAAAUAUUUCAAUGUAUUGCCAUUAUAAAAUUUACUAAUGAAAUCCAGUAUAUAUUUUAUACUUGCAGCACAUGUCAAUCUGAAUGCCACAUUUCAAGUACUCAGAAUCCCAUGUACCUAAUGGCCACCAUUUUGGACAACAUAGAUCUAGCGUGUUAAAAUUAAAUCAAGUGCAAGGUAUAGUGGCGGGCAUCUGUAAUCCCAGUACUUAUGAAACUGAGGCAGAAGGAUCACAAGUUCAAGGCCAGCCUGGGCUACAUAGCAAGAAACUCAGGAAAAAAAAAAUCAGUGUGAGAAAUCAUUUAGUAAACCAUCUCAAUUAACAGAUAAUGAAAUGAAGACCCAGCCAGAUGAACUGACUUGCCCAAGUUCACACAGUUGAUGAAAAAGCAGAGAUGGGACACAAAUUCAGGUUUCUGAUACCAAGAUCAGGUCUUUUGCCAUGGCCUCUCCCUGUUCAAAGACAGAAAGGAUAAUGGAGAGUUGGAAGGAUCAGGAUCAUAGAAGACCUGGAAUAAAGUUACAUUGUUUUAAUUACUUUCUCAUUGCUGGGACAAAAUACUUAACAUCUACAAGUAAAAGAAGGAGAGAUUUAUUUUGGCUCAUAGUUUGUAGAGGUUUCAGCCCAUGUUCCAAGGCAGGUUGGUUCCAAGGCAAGGUGGCCUAGUAGAGGGGCAUCACACAGGAGAAAUAGCUCAUAAUGGCAGGCAGGAAGCAGAGAGAAAUCGAAGGAGGCUGGAGGGAGACACACCUUUCCAGGCCACACCUCCAGGGACCUAUCUCCUCUCACCAGGUAUCACCUCCCAAAUCACAUUUAGCUAUAAACUUAUCGGUGGAUUGAUCCACUGACUAGUGUCAUGUCCCCAAGAUCCAAUCAGCUGCCCAAACCCCUACCUAUGAGCCCAUGAGGCUUUGGGUGAAAUCUAAAUAAACCGUAAAACCAUUCAUUCAAAGAGAGAAAGAGAGAAGAAAAACUAGCACAAACAUGACCCCAUCAAAUAGUAAACACUUGUCAUAUUCCCGACAUUGUGCUAGAUGCUAUAAGAAAAUAAGAAAUUAAAACUAUAACUGAAUGCCCACCUUAUUAAAAGUUCCAAGAAGAAAAAAUGCAUAAGAAAAUUGCACUGAUAGCAAACACUAUUGAGUGAAGGUGAGGCUUGAGAAAACCUUAAUGGAUGAAAAGGCCAUAUUCACAACUCUUUCCUGACACAGGGAUCUUCCCGGGUCAUACACUGCCUGCAAACUUUGAGAAGGAACUGCAAAGCUCCAUCAAGACAGCAGCAUCUCUCUGCUAAUUUGCCUCUUAGUUCUGAGUACCAAGUUGCCUGUCUCUCCCCUCCAUAAAUUAAAAGGCCAGAAGCUUCCAACUACUGACUGCUUCUAACAGCAGAAGUCUUGAAAACUAUAGCAGCAUUUCCCAUUGUAUGCCCUAGGAUGUCAAUAGAUGUGAUAUGGAAUAAAAGCAGGAAUAUCGAGUUAAACAAGCUCUUAUGGUUCGGGUCUAGAUGUUUCCUCCAAAGCCUCAUGAGGUCCUAGGUGGGGCUUUCUUUCAGAGGUGGCUGGAUGUAGAAUGUGUGACACUGGAAGUGAUUCAUGGUGCACUGCUAGGUUCAAGGGCACUGGGACUAAAGGUGUGAGUGCUACCACCCUAAGUAGUUUGGAUAAAAUAAAAGGGGCAGAAAGAGGCUGUUUUUGUCCCCUGUUGCUUUUGCUACCUUGUGCAUGCCGUGUUUUUUCUCCUCUGCAAUGCCUGUCUGCUAUCCACCCUGCCUUGGAGCCAGCUGAUUAUGAACUGAAACCCCUACCAAAUGUAAGGAAAAUAAACUUUUCCUCCUUUAACUUUGGAUAGCUGGUAUUUUGUCUCAGCUAUGAGAAAAGUGUCUAAGACACAAGCUAAGACUAGCUUUUUCACUCCAGAACUUCUCUGGCCUUUAGCAUGCUUUAACCUGUUUGUGGUUUCAGUUUCAAGAUCAACAACAUUGAUACAUUCCAUAACCCCCUGCAUGGAUGGCCCAGAAGGGUGGCAGCUCCUCAUCUUACACCACAUCCCUUCUUUCUCUGCUUCCUGCCACACCAGCCUUGCCACAGCUUCUCCGAGUCUACCCAGAUCUAUGCCAUCAGAUGCAGCUGCCUCAAGCUGUCUUGGCUUUUGUGCACUGGACAUGUGCUAGUCUAAAUUGAAAUGUUUUGUAAGUGUGAAAGACACACCUGAUUUUGAAGACUUAGAACAAAGAAAAUAUGAAACAUCACAAAAUCUUUAUAUUGAUUACAUGUUGAAAUUAUGUCAUGUAUUUUGAAUUAGGGAAAUAUAUUAUUAAAAUUAUUUUCACCUGUUUCUUUUUAUCUCUUAUAAUGUGGUUACUGGAGAAUUUAUUAUUAUUUAUGCAGGUCACACUGGGGCUUUUUCGUUUUUAUUUACUUAUUAGUACAUAUCUCUAAUACAUAAUGCUUACAUUCCUUGUGGGGAAUUGGU
Non-coding RNA from Heterocephalus glaber (naked mole-rat), 5274 nucleotides. The record is from RefSeq and is a predicted model, not a curated record. NCBI's taxonomy places the organism in Eukaryota, Metazoa, Chordata, Mammalia, Rodentia, Bathyergidae.